This 502-nucleotide ribosomal RNA is filed under the name uncultured bacterium. Its description in RNAcentral is "bacterial SSU rRNA". It matches the Rfam family "Bacterial small subunit ribosomal RNA", at positions 340 to 842 of the family's 1533-position model. The record is from RNAcentral.
UACGGGAGGCAGCAGUGAGGAAUAUUGGUCAAUGGGCGUAAGCCUGAACCAGCCAAGUCGCGUGAGGGAUGAAGGUUCUAUGGAUCGUAAACCUCUUUUAUAAGGGAAUAAAGUGUGGGACGUGUCCUAUUUUGUAUGUACCUUAUGAAUAAGGAUCGGCUAACUCCGUGCCAGCAGCCGCGGUAAUACGGAGGAUCCGAGCGUUAUCCGGAUUUAUUGGGUUUAAAGGGUGCGUAGGCGGCCUUUUAAGUCAGCGGUGAAGGUCUGUGGCUCAACCAUAGAAUUGCCGUUGAAACUGGGGGGCUUGAGUAUGUUUGAGGCAGGCGGAAUGCGUGGUGUAGCGGUGAAAUGCUUAGAUAUCACGCAGAACCCCGAUUGCGAAGGCAGCCUGCCAAGCCAUGACUGACGCUGAUGCACGAAAGCGUGGGGAUCAAACAGGAUUAGAUACCCUGGUAGUCCACGCAGUAAAAGAUGAUCACUAGCUGUUUGCGAUACAGUGUAA